AAGCUGGGUCUGGUGGCAUAUGUUUU
RNAcentral lists this non-coding RNA (26 nucleotides) under Cricetulus griseus (Chinese hamster). Lineage: Eukaryota; Metazoa; Chordata; Mammalia; Rodentia; Cricetidae. The record is from RNAcentral.